CAGCCGCCGCGGUAAUACGGAGGGUGCAAGCGUUGUCCGGAUUUAUUGGGUUUAAAGGGUGCGUAGGCGGCCUAAUAAGUCAGUGGUGAAAGCCUCCAGCUUAACUGGAGAACUGCCAUUGAUACUGUUAGGCUUGAGUAUACUUGAGGUAGGCGGAAUUGACAGUGUAGCGGUGAAAUGCAUAGAUAUUGUCAAGAACACCAAUUGCGAAGGCAGCUUACUAAAUUAUAACUGACGCUGAGGCACGAAAGUGUGGGUAUCAAACAGGAUUAGAUACCCCAGUAGUCCCUGUCUCUUAUAU
This 301-nucleotide ribosomal RNA is filed under the name uncultured bacterium. RNAcentral describes it as "partial 16S ribosomal RNA". It matches the Rfam family "Bacterial small subunit ribosomal RNA", at positions 509 to 809 of the family's 1533-position model. The record is from RNAcentral.